This 36-nucleotide transfer RNA is filed under the name Nicrophorus insularis. RNAcentral describes it as "partial tRNA-Lys". The record is from RNAcentral. Lineage: Eukaryota; Metazoa; Arthropoda; Insecta; Coleoptera; Silphidae.
CACUAGAUGGCUGAAAGCAAGUACUGGCUUCUUAAA